GACGAACGCUGGCGGCGUGCUUAACACAUGCAAGUCGAACGGAAAGGCCCUGCUCUUGUGGUGCGCGCGAGUGGCGCAAGGGUGUGAAUCACGCGAGUAACCUGCGCUUGACUUUGGGAUAACUUCAUGAAACUGGGGAUAAUAUCGGAUAUGAGCUCCUGCUGCAUGGUGGGGGUUGGAAAGUUUGGGAUGUUGGGGAUGGACUGGCGGCUUAUCAUCUUGUUGGUGGGGUAGUGGCUUACCAAGGCAUUGAGGGGUAGCCGGCCUGCGAGGGUGACCGGCGACAUUGGGACUGAGAGACGGACCAGAAGCGUAUGGGAGGCAGCAGUGGGGAAUAUUGCACAGUGGGGGGAAGUGUGAGGCAGAGACGCCGCGUGCGGGAAGACGGCUUUCGGGUUAUAAACCGUUGUCGCCUGUGACGAAGCGUGAGUGACGGUAAUGGGUAAAGAAGCACCGGCUAAAUAAGUG
RNAcentral lists this ribosomal RNA (468 nucleotides) under uncultured bacterium. Its description in RNAcentral is "partial 16S ribosomal RNA". It matches the Rfam family "Bacterial small subunit ribosomal RNA", at positions 28 to 507 of the family's 1533-position model. The record is from RNAcentral.